GCGUAAUAGCUCACUGGUCGAGUCGGCCUGCGCGGAAGAUGUAACGGGGCUAAACCAUGCACCGAAGCUGCGGCAGCGACGCUGAUGCGUUGUUGGGUAGGGGAGCGUUCUGUAAGCCUGUGAAGGUGUGCUGUGAGGCAUGCUGGAGGUAUCAGAAGUGCGAAUGCUGACAUAAGUAACGAUAAAGCGGGUGAAAAGCCCGCUCGCCGGA
RNAcentral lists this ribosomal RNA (211 nucleotides) under Escherichia coli. RNAcentral describes it as "partial 23S ribosomal RNA". It matches the Rfam family "Bacterial large subunit ribosomal RNA", at positions 1132 to 1341 of the family's 2925-position model. Lineage: Bacteria; Pseudomonadati; Pseudomonadota; Gammaproteobacteria; Enterobacterales; Enterobacteriaceae. The record is from RNAcentral.